AACGAACGCUGGCGGCAUGCCUAACACAUGCAAGUCGAACGAGAUCCUUCGGGGUCUAGUGGCGGACGGGUGAGUAACGCGUGGGGACCUGCCCAGGGGUACGGAAUAACUACGGGAAACUGUAGCUAAUACCGUAUGAUGCCGAAAGGCCAAAGAUUUAUCGCCCUUGGAUGGACCCGCGUUGGAUUAGCUAGUUGGUGAGGUAAUGGCUCACCAAGGCGACGAUCCAUAGCUGGUUUGAGAAGAUGAUCAGCCACACUGGGACUGAGACACGGCCCAGACUCCUACGGGAGGCAGCAGUGGGGAAUAUUGGACGAAUAGGCGAAGA
RNAcentral lists this ribosomal RNA (328 nucleotides) under uncultured bacterium. RNAcentral's name for it is "bacterial SSU rRNA". It matches the Rfam family "Bacterial small subunit ribosomal RNA", at positions 29 to 381 of the family's 1533-position model. The record is from RNAcentral.